This 23-nucleotide microRNA is filed under the name Limulus polyphemus (Atlantic horseshoe crab). RNAcentral describes it as "Lpo-Mir-315-P4_5p (mature (guide))". The record is from RNAcentral. RNAcentral also lists the same sequence under 4 other names. Lineage: Eukaryota; Metazoa; Arthropoda; Merostomata; Xiphosura; Limulidae.
UUUUGAUUGUUGCUCAGAAGGCG